AACGAACGCUGGCGGCAUGCCUAACACAUGCAAGUCGAACGAGACCUUCGGGUCUAGUGGCGCACGGGUGCGUAACGCGUGGGAACCUGCCCUUAGGUUCGGAAUAACUCCCCGAAAGGGGUGCUAAUACCGGAUGAUGUCUUCGGACCAAAGAUUUAUCGCCUUUGGAUGGGCCCGCGUUGGAUUAGCUAGUUGGUAGGGUAAAAGCCUACCAAGGCGACGAUCCAUAGCUGGUCUGAGAGGAUGAUCAGCCACACUGGGACUGAGACACGGCCCAGACUCCUACGGGAAGCAGCAGUGGGGAAUAUUGGACAAUGGGCGAAAGCCUGAUCCAGCAAUGCCGCGUGAGUGAUGAAGGCCUUAGGGUUGUAAAGCUCUUUUACCCGGGAUGAUAAUGACAGUACCGGGAGAAUAAGCUCCGGCUAACUCCGUG
This 433-nucleotide ribosomal RNA is filed under the name uncultured bacterium. Its description in RNAcentral is "partial 16S ribosomal RNA". It matches the Rfam family "Bacterial small subunit ribosomal RNA", at positions 29 to 507 of the family's 1533-position model. The record is from RNAcentral.